Molecule: transfer RNA, 77 nt
Filed under: Deltaproteobacteria bacterium 13_1_20CM_2_69_21
Lineage: Bacteria; Deltaproteobacteria
Also listed under: 4 other names
Description: tRNA-Arg
Rfam family: tRNA
About the family: Transfer RNA (tRNA) molecules are approximately 80 nucleotides in length. Their secondary structure includes four short double-helical elements and three loops (D, anti-codon, and T loops). Further hydrogen bonds mediate the characteristic L-shaped molecular structure. tRNAs have two regions of fundamental functional importance: the anti-codon, which is responsible for specific mRNA codon recognition, and the 3' end, to which the tRNAs corresponding amino acid is attached (by aminoacyl-tRNA synthetases). tRNAs cope with the degeneracy of the genetic code in two manners: having more than one tRNA (with a specific anti-codon) for a particular amino acid; and 'wobble' base-pairing, i.e. permitting non-standard base-pairing at the 3rd anti-codon position.
Source: RNAcentral
GCGCCCAUAGCUCAGGUGGAUAGAGCGGCGGUUUCCUAAACCGCAGGCCACAGGUUCGAGUCCUGUUGGGCGCACCA